Molecule: long non-coding RNA, 4621 nt
Filed under: Sus scrofa (pig)
Lineage: Eukaryota; Metazoa; Chordata; Mammalia; Artiodactyla; Suidae
Description: lncRNA (ENSSSCG00000051944.1)
Source: RNAcentral
CUCAAAACACAUUACUCUCUCAAGGCCAUGUCCUUGGGCAGCUGCUAGUGCAGGGAGUGCAAGAGCACACAUGCCAAGGGCAGGAGAGGGGAUGAAGAGACUGAUUUUCUGAGUCCAAUGCGUGGGUCAGCUGGCAGUCUUGUCCUAUUGGUUACCUCCCUGACAGGAGGAUGGGGGUAUAUCACUUUCUAUUUAAAUAUAUUGUUUUCAGAUGUUCUUUAUAAUUCAUACAUGUACAUAACAUAAUUCAUAAAUGUACUUUUUUUAUGAAAAGUGAUCGUUUUUCAAAAGUGAUUUGAUGUACGAAAUAAGAAAUUUUCAUCUUUGUCACCUUUCAUGGCAUUUUAUUAUUUUUACUAUUCCUACCAUGAUGAUAAAAUAUUUCUUUCUUUUUCUUUUUCUUUUUUUUUUUUUUUUUGUCUUUUUGUCCUUUCAGGGCCGUACCCGUGGCAUAUGGAUGUUCCCAGGCUAGGGGUCUAAACAGAGCUGUUGCUGCUGGCCUUCACCAGAGCCAUAGCAACGCCAGAUCUGAGCCACAUCUGUGACCUACACCACAGCUCCCGGCAACGCCAGAUCCUUAACCCACUGAGCGAGGCCAGGGAUCGAACCCGCAACCUCAUGGCUCCUAGUCAGAUUCAUUUCCGCUGCUCCAUGGUGGGAACUCCACAAAAUAUUUCUGAUAAACCAAUAUGGAUAGAUAGAUAGAUAGAUAGAUAGAUAGAUAGAUAGAUAGACAGACAGACAGAUAGAUUAGAAUAAGAAUUACAAACUGUUAGAGCCAUAAUGGAGUAAAAAGAAUACAAAUGAGUAGUCUUUAACUGAUUUUGAUAAUAAAAAAUGCUAGAAGUAUAAUUUAUGCAUAUACUUACUAGGAUUUCAUUUCACAGAGAAAACUUGUUAUGAAAGACUGUAUACAGUUCCGAAGGAAAAAGUCAGUUCUUUGUUGAGUUGUUUAAACAAAAUUUAUGGGUUUUGUCAAAUGCUCAUACCAUACAUGCUUAGAAAGGGAAUUCCUAAUCAUAAUAAAAAUAACAAACUAUAAAAUACAUGAAAUUGUAUUUCAUCUGCUUUGCCAUUAUCAAGGAUGCUUAAUUCACACUUCGUUCAAAUCCUAGCAGAAAGAAAAUUGUCCUGGAAUUCACCAGCAAACCUUCAAGGCUGUGGUGAUACAACUGUGAAACCUAACAACUCAGAGGGAGAUUAAAGGUUCCACUCCUUAAAACACAGCAAGACUGUCACCUAUCAAAGGCUGCACCUUUGGAGUCCUUGUAAUAAAAGUCUGAGGAGUAAUCUAAUGUGCCAUUAACAUCAAAGUACCUGCCAGCCUGCAAUAUUGGUUUUGCUUUAAACACGUUGAGUACUAACCAUCGGGCUUGCUUCCAGAUUUCUAGUUGUUUCUGGGGUAAGCAAUGAAACUUUAUCAUAGAAACUUAGCUCUUUGAAAAUAGGCUUGCAUAUAAGCAGCUUAUGGAGAAAACUGUUUCCUGCAACAUAACGCUUUCUUUUCUAAAACAUGUUUAAUUCACAUUGAGCAUCAAAGGCAUUUGUUUGUUUUGCAAAAUUCCUAGGAGUACAUAUGAUUCAACAGAGUAAAUGUAAAUCUAAAAAUCCAAAACAGAAUAACCUAGAUUCCUCAAUUGUAUCUAAGACCCUCUGCUAUUACAGAUAGCAGCUGUUUAUUUCUAGAGUUCAUUAGAUCCUUAUCCAUCAUUAGCCAUUAUAGAUAAUGCCACAUAUUGAUUGCUGAGUGGCAUCAGGGAGUGUUUUUCUGCAUAACAUUAAAGAACACCCCGUAAGGGUUGAUCAUAGGUCUUCUGUAUUGGGGAAUGACAGCAUUCCAAAAACAGUUCUCCCCAUCUUACCUUGAAACCCAUUGUCUCCUCUUAUCCAGCUGCCAAUUAUUUAUUUCGUUUUCCUCCUUGACGCUCACAUGGUCACUGACUGAAUACCAUGAGCAGGGGACUGCUCUUGAACGCUUCUUUUCAUUAGAUUAGCGUAGCCAAUAGGCGGGCGCUCUUCUAAAUUUCGUACAUGUUUUUCUUCAUUUGUUCAUACCACAGCCCCCUGAAGUAGGUGUAAUUUUUCUUAUUCUGUCUUAUUGCCUUUCUUUCCAAAUCUGACCACAGUCAAAGCAGGUGGUGAUACAGUUUAUGUUGCUUCUGUUAAUUUAUUUGAGAAGAAAGUUCUUGAGCCCAUUUGUGAGUUUUGUCUUAGACAAGCACUAAAAAAAGAAUGGAUGUUGAACUAUUGUUUUGUUAAGUGAACAUGUAGAAUUCUUAACUUUACCUUUUUCCACAAAGACAAAUAUUCAGAGAAGUGGGAUGACCUAGUUGAAACUGGCAAAAUGUAGCAAGUCAUGUACCCUCUUUAAGCUUUAAUUUCCUAACCUCUUAAAACAUUAAUAUUUGUUAGAAGGUCUUAUUUGGGAUUCAAUAAUGUAACUGAUGUGCAUAUUCACUGUUUUAGUGGAAAAACUAAAAUUUCCCACAUAAAUGCAAAAGAGUAUAAAUAUAAUGCUACUAAAAUGAAAAGGAGAAAUUCUACAGUUUAUAUGAAUUGGGAGAAUCUAAUAUUUCAAAUAAGAAAUAUAUAAAUGGCCUUUUAAUCAUAUAUCACAAUUUCAGAAGUCAAAUAUAUAGAUUCUGAGGUUUUCCAGUUAGGAUCUAAGUUACAUAAAGCAUUAUUUACUAGCAUUUAGAUUAUGGUCAUUCUAGGACACGUGAUUUCCAGAACUAGAUUCUUCUUUGACUAAUUAAAAUGCAGCUUCACAACAACCCAGUUACCUUCUAAAUGUUACAUAUGUAAUUAGAUAAGAUGUCUAGAAAGACAAAUGUAACUCAUCAGUUAGGUACACAUUUAUAAUAACAAAGCAGGAGUUUCACAUACACUCCGAAUAUGUAAGAAUUCACAUACAAAAAAAAAAAUCAAAAUAUGUUUAAUGGGUCUUGCCUAUCAAAAAGUUAUCUCUUUUAGCCUAAAAAGUGUUUGGAGCCAGAAACAUUCUCUUUUCAAUUAUGUGGAAAAAUAUCAUCUUUGUUACUUAUUAAGCAAGCAAUUUUCUGAAAAUGGUUGUUUUAGAAAGUUUCUGUUAUUGGGGAAAAUCUGAUUUAUAAUCAUCAUAGAUUUCUAGCACCUUAUAUCUUAUUACCAGAAACAUCAAGGAUGGGAAAACUUGAGGCAUAAAUUUUCAAUAGUGUUUUAUUUUGAUUUGAACGGGCUCUUCUACCACCUCAACUGUGGUAGAGACCCAUUAUUGCUAAUGAUUGUGUUGACCCUGAGAAAAUGCAGUGAGGGAGGGAUGACCUGUUCAUAAUGUAAUGGAAAUUACUUUUCCUGUUUGGUACAUAAAUUAGGAAGACAGUAAGAAAAAGAAACCCUUUGAAGUAGAUAGUCGUCUGUUAAAGGUCAAAUUUCCCAGAGCCGUCUUUGCUGCAAAUUGGGAAAAGAAAUCCUUCAAAAUCCUUUGAAUGAUCCUGUGGAUAGCAAAGGUGAAAUUCCUUUUGUGUUGCUCAGAAUGUUUUUUCUUUUGGAGUGUUCCCUAACAAACACAUGAAAGUGCAAUGUAUUGUGUUGUCAAAUCUUUUCCUGACCAAAAUAGCAAUAUAUUGGCAUCGCUGGCUUCUCCUUUGUGACAAAUUCUGACUUUCUAUUACAUAAUUAAAUCAACUGACGUUGGAUAUAGUUUAUUUUCUCCCAAAGAUAACUAGUUCAUCUGAAAUUCACUUACACCAGCUUUGUAAUUUAAGUACAGCAAUGCCUUUGUGUUAGAGGAUGGAAGAAAUUGAAAAGGUCAAAACCUAUUUGACUUCCUUUAAAUGUUUGAUAGCUUGUUUACUUAAAUUCAUUCUAUUCAAAAUGCCAAGACAUCUGCCCUUUUCGUGUAGUUUGUGGGGCUCUUCAUUAUUUUUUUCUGACAUCCAAUCAUUUCAAAACGUUAAACAUUUCCUGGUACAUCUAUAUGUUUAUAAAAGUCAAUUAAGAAGCAGUUCCUACCUUCAAAGGGCACACAGUCUGAUACAUGUAAACAACUACUUAAAACAUGUCAUAGACACCAUUUUUAGUGUCUUUUCAUUCAUUCAAUACAUAUUUAUAAACACCUAUUAUAUGCUAAGCAUUGUUCUAGGGUUUAGACUCAUAUCAAUAAAUACGACCUGCAAAAAAUUCCUCAUGAGGAACUUUUAAUCUAAUGAGUAACAAUUUAAAUACUUUGCAUUCCCAUUAGUUAAAUUAACAUCUUCUCUUCCCAUGGGAACUUUCCAGGGCAUGGAUGGACAGAUGGAAGUCAAGAAAUAUUCUUUUCUCUCUUUAAUAAGGAAAAGAUUUUGUAUUGCUCAUCUUGAAAACAUUUCUACACAGUCAUUUUAUGCUUUAUUUUAAACUGUGCUUUCUUGCAAAUUGUAUAUAAGCUGAUAGUUGGCUUAUAGAAGUAAAGUCUAAUACUAUUUCCUACUGUGUAAACUAAAUGGCCCUUCCCCACUUUCACCAUGAAGCGUUUCCUGAAUGUUCCUGAUAGAAAUCUACUCCACUCUACCUUGGAAAAAUGUUAACUCUUUUUGAAAAUUUCUUUUAUGAUGCUUAUUUUAUUUUUACUUGUGCAGUAGACCUUUCCAUCCCCAGUUUC